UGAAAUAAGUCGUAACAUAGUAGGUGUACUGGAAGGUGUCUCUAGAAGACAGGGUAAAGCUUUUA
Molecule: transfer RNA, 65 nt
Filed under: Ips nitidus
Lineage: Eukaryota; Metazoa; Arthropoda; Insecta; Coleoptera; Curculionidae
Description: tRNA-Val
Source: RNAcentral